CUUAGGUAACACAGGAAACUCAGCACAGGAGCUGAUCCAGGAUGUCUGAUGCCUGAAUCUGUAAUUCCCACUGAGAUCGAACUUCCAGUGACUCCAGAAAAGGACGGCAGCAUGACCAUCCUUUCCUGUUCAGCCAAACACCUUAACUAGAAUUAUUCAAGUUUAAAGCAAAAUUUCAGCAGUAACUGAAAUGCUUGCAGAAUACACGAACAACAGCGCCCUCUGCACCUGAAACCCCUCCGGUUAUUAAACCCAGACGUUCCUACGUGCUGGAGGAGCCUUUAAUUUCAAUUACUGCUUUUUUCAGCUGCUGAUAUUCUAACCAGCAGAGCCAUAGAUAUUUCUGGUGUUAUAUUUGGCUAAAAUCUCACCACCAAUCUCAGCUUCUGGCAUGGAAGGAAAGAAAUCCAUUCCCAAGGGGCACAGAAAGGAUGCAAACCUCAAGGCAAGACCCAACCCUUGCAGCCUUUGUGCGAGGUGAAGAAAAUGAAGGAAGUGAAUAAACUGCCCACCUGCUAAAACUGAUGCUGCAAACUGCCCCCAGGAGAACUGCCAAGGAAUCCAGCCUCAUUUUGCCUGGGAAUGCAAGAUCUCCACUGUGGCUCCUCAAACUCUGUUCCCAUCCUUGCCCUUCUGCCCAGGAAAUACCAUUUAAUGCAUGUGUCCAGUUACUGCAACAACUUUGAAGAAAGGAAGACGUCAAAGGCAAUGCAAGAAGGCAAGAUCUGGCAACAGCACCUGUCAAGAUUCCAAACCCAAGAAAUUAAAAAACACCUACUGUCCAAAUUAUUGUUGUACUGGUAGAAACAGGAUAGUAGCCUUUGGUCUUCCUGUGAAUAAACUGGAACAGAACUCUGUAUUGCCAGCUGAAUUUCUUUUUCAGCAACUCAACUUUCACAGUGAAUCAGGAGUACAAUUCUUCUACUCUCUGCAUUUUAGUUUGGUCUCAGCUCUGUCUUCAUGA
RNAcentral lists this long non-coding RNA (964 nucleotides) under Zonotrichia albicollis (white-throated sparrow). RNAcentral describes it as "lncRNA (ENSZALG00000012637.1)". Lineage: Eukaryota; Metazoa; Chordata; Aves; Passeriformes; Passerellidae. The record is from RNAcentral.